RNAcentral lists this ribosomal RNA (274 nucleotides) under uncultured bacterium. Its description in RNAcentral is "partial 16S ribosomal RNA". It matches the Rfam family "Bacterial small subunit ribosomal RNA", at positions 523 to 796 of the family's 1533-position model. The record is from RNAcentral.
AUACGGAGGGUGCAAGCGUUACUCGGAAUCACUGGGCGUAAAGGACGCGUAGGCGGGUUGGUAAGUCAGGUGUGAAAUCCUACAGCUUAACUGUAGAACUGCACUUGAAACUACCAACCUAGAGUAUGGGAGGGGGAGAUGGAAUUAGUGGUGGAGGGGUAAAAUCCGUAGAUAUCACUAGGAAUACCGAAAGCGAAGGCGAUCUCCUGGAACAUAACUGACGCUAAGGCGUGAAAGCGUGGGGAGCAAACAGGAUUAGAAACCCUGGUAGUCC